CCUGGUGCUCCUUGAGCGCUCACUGCUCACAGGCUCUCCAUCCGUCCUGAGAAGGGGUUAUUAAUUCCAGAGUUCUCUGCCAACUCUAAUCUGAGGCACUAUAAUCCUUCCAGCGCCCUGGCCACCGACCCAUCCGGAGCUCUGUUGCUCUGUUGAUAAAAGCACAACAUGUUGCCCCUAUCAUCCCACACACCCCUCUUGGUUCUGCCAAUGCAUAACCAAGACUAGCUUAAUUUGAUAGAUCAUUCGGGAGGUGUCAUCUAAUUGUUCUGAUAGUCCUUCUGCUGUAUCCAUGGUAAAUUUGACAAAACAUUGCUGAUUUUAUAUAAAUUAUACAAUCAAUAUUUUUGUGAAUGGUUGAACACAAAAACAGAAUUCAUUCAAACCCCUGCCACUAUUUGAUUGCAUCAUGUGGCUGUUACUCCUUGCUUGGCAGACGUAGUUUGUAGGCUCCGGGUGUGUCUGCAUCUGGCUCUGGAACUUUGCGUUUCUAUUGUCGAAAUACAAACUCAUGUACAGCAGUUAGUUGUUCAAAAACAUAUUUCCUUUGAUUCUAUUUUUAAUUGUUCUAAUGGAAGUCCCUUAUGGGGACCUUGAAAUGUAAGUGAAAGCAUGAAUCUAACCGUAAGCCUUACGUGCAAAGUUAGCUGUGUCAUUCUAUUAGAUUUGUAUGUGAUAACUCAGUAUUGCUAUAGAUAUUAAUUGAUGUCUAAUUGAUAUCUCUCAGAGAGAUACAAGGUACUCACCUUGCUUCUGGAAACAUUGGACCCGAAAUUUGUAUGUGUUUUAAAUAUGUUUGUAUUUAUAAUUGAUAAUACCUCAUUUGUAUUCCUUAUUUAAUGUUUUAUGUGUGUAUAGAUGUGUGUGUGUGUGUGUGUGUGUGUGUGUGUGUGUGUGUGUGUGUGUGUGUGUGUGUGUGUGUGUGUGUGUGUGUGUGUGUGUGGAUGUGUGUAUAUGUGUAUAUAGAUGUGUGUGUGUGUGUGUGUGUGUGUGUGUGUGUGUGUAGUUGUUUAUAAAGAUAAUAAUUGCAUCUAACCAGUUCUAUUUAGUGCUUGGAACAGUGUUUGCUGAAUAUACACUGGCCCAUUGUCUGAACUUAUCUCUGAUUGAAUUUCAAACCUUGGCAUGACUUCUCUAGUCAGAAACUUGAUUAUUGUAGCCGCACUUUGGUCUUUUGAUGGGACUGCUUCUACCCAUCUGCUGAACCUGUCAAGGAUAACUAUCAUGCACAACAUGUCAACAUAGUUCAUGACCAAAUGUCAAAAUGGUCCUUCAGGUGUGGGAAUGUGUCCCAAUGUA
Molecule: long non-coding RNA, 1299 nt
Organism: Gadus macrocephalus (Pacific cod)
Lineage: Eukaryota; Metazoa; Chordata; Actinopteri; Gadiformes; Gadidae
Exons: 2
Source: RefSeq, a predicted model, not a curated record